Molecule: ribosomal RNA, 414 nt
Filed under: uncultured bacterium
Lineage: Bacteria
Description: bacterial SSU rRNA
Rfam family: Bacterial small subunit ribosomal RNA
Source: RNAcentral
GUUUGAUCCUGGCUCAGAAUCAACGCUGGCGGCGCGCUUAACACAUGCAAGUCGCACGAGAAAGGGAGCAAUCCUAAGUAAAGUGGCGUACGGGUGAGUAACACGUGGAUCAUCUACCUUUUAGUGGGGAAUACCUCCUGGAAACGGGAGACAAUACCGCAUAAGCUCGAGAGAGGAAAGCGUCGUUGUCAAAGACGACGCGCUGAAAGAGGAGUCCGCGGCUGAUUAGCUAGUUGGCGGGGUAAUGGCCCACCAAGGCGAAGAUCGGUAGCCGGCCUGAGAGGGCACACGGCCACACUGGCACUGAAACACGGGCCAGACUCCUACGGGAGGCAGCAGUGGGGAAUCUUGCACAAUGGAGGAAACUCUGAUGCAGCGACGCCGCGUGAGCGAUGAAGCCCUUCGGGGUGUAAA